This is a regulatory RNA element of 115 nucleotides. It matches the Rfam family "Ribosomal protein L10 leader". Rfam says of the family: This family is a putative r-protein leader autoregulatory structure found in B. subtilis and other low-GC Gram-positive bacteria. It is located in the 5' untranslated regions of mRNAs encoding ribosomal proteins L10 and L12 (rplJ-rplL). The record is from Rfam.
AAUAUGUGUUUCAGUCUACCUAAGACUCAGGUGAGUUUUGCUCUUAAUAUCCUGACGAGGAGAAUUUAAUAUUCUCUCUAUGUUUUGGUAGGCAUAGGGAUUUUUUAUUAAAUCC